GACGAACGCUGGCGGCGUGCUUAACACAUGCAAGUCGAACGGAAAGGCCCUGCUUUUGUGGGGUGCUCGAGUGGCGAACGGGUGAGUAACACGUGAGUAACCUGCCCUUGACUUUGGGAUAACUUCAGGAAACUGGGGCUAAUACCGGAUAGGAGCUCCUGCUGCAUGGUGGGGGUUGGAAAGUUUCGGCGGUUGGGGAUGGACUCGCGGCUUAUCAGCUUGUUGGUGGGGUAGUGGCUUACCAAGGCUUUGAUGGGUAGCCGGCCUGAGAGGGUGACCGGCCACAUUGGGAUUGAGAUACGGCCCAGACUCCUACGGGAGGCAGCAGUGGGGAAUAUUGCACAAUGGGCGGAAGCCUGAUGCAGCAACGCCGCGUGCGGGAUGACGGCCUUCGGGCUGUAAACCGCUUUCGCCUGUGACGAAGCGUGAGUGACGGUAAUGGGUAAAGAAGCACCGGCUAACUACGUG
RNAcentral lists this ribosomal RNA (468 nucleotides) under uncultured bacterium. Its description in RNAcentral is "partial 16S ribosomal RNA". It matches the Rfam family "Bacterial small subunit ribosomal RNA", at positions 28 to 507 of the family's 1533-position model. The record is from RNAcentral.